This 107-nucleotide small nuclear RNA is filed under the name Neogale vison (American mink). The record is from RNAcentral. Lineage: Eukaryota; Metazoa; Chordata; Mammalia; Carnivora; Mustelidae.
GUGCUUGCUUAGGCAGCACAUAUACUAAAAUUGGAACAAUACAGAGAAGAUUAGCAUGGGCCCUGUGCAAGGAUGACAGGCAAAUUCACGAGCCUUUCCAUAUUUUU